RNAcentral lists this unclassified non-coding RNA (339 nucleotides) under Hevea brasiliensis (rubber tree). Lineage: Eukaryota; Viridiplantae; Streptophyta; Magnoliopsida; Malpighiales; Euphorbiaceae. The record is from RNAcentral.
GUGAUUUCAGAUAGAAAACUUAAUUGAAGGAACUAAUCAAACUCAUAUCUUUGGGAAUAUUUAGUAAUCUACUUGUCAUACAAUUGCAUUAAAGCUAUCAAGCAUAUCAAACUUACCCAAAUUCAAAUUAGAAUUUCAGCAUUCUUCGACUGUGGAAUCAAAAAGAUUGCAUUUGAAUACAGCAAAAGAAAAGAAAAAGGAAGAAGUUACAAUAAUCCAUGGUUUAAUCGUCAACUAAUCGUGCCUAACAGAAAUCCCAAAACUGACUUCAUCUUAAUCAAUACGUAACAUUCUAAAAGCAAUCAAAAUUAAACAAUUUUUUUUUAAAGGAGAGCUUUU